UACGUAGGGGGCAAGCGUUGUCCGGAAUCAUUGGGCGUAAAGCGCGUGUAGGCGGCCCGGUAAGUCCGCUGUGAAAGUCCAGGGCUCAACCCUGGAAUGCCGGUGGAUACUGUCGGGCUCGAGUCCGGAAGAGGCGAGUGGAAUUCCUGGUGUAGCGGUGAAAUGCGCAGAUAUCAGGAGGAACACCGAUGGCGAAGGCAGCUCGCUGGGACGGUACUGACGCUGAGACGCGAAAGCGUGGGGAGCGAACAGG
This 253-nucleotide ribosomal RNA is filed under the name uncultured bacterium. RNAcentral describes it as "partial 16S ribosomal RNA". It matches the Rfam family "Bacterial small subunit ribosomal RNA", at positions 524 to 776 of the family's 1533-position model. The record is from RNAcentral.